AUUGAACGCUGGCGGCACGCCUAACACAUGCAAGUCGAGCGGCAGCGGGGUUAGUAGCAAUACUAACUGCCGGCGAGCGGCGGACGGGUGAGUAACACGUAGGAACCUACCCAAGAGAGGGGGAUAACCAAGGGAAACUUUGGCUAAUACCGCGUAAUCUCGGAAGAGCAAAGCUGCCGCAAGGUGGCGCUUUUGGAGGGGCCUGCGUCCGAUUAGCUAGUUGGUGGGGUAAGAGCCCACCAAGGCUGUGAUCGGUAACUGGUCUGAGAGGACGACC
Molecule: ribosomal RNA, 277 nt
Filed under: uncultured bacterium
Lineage: Bacteria
Description: partial 16S ribosomal RNA
Rfam family: Bacterial small subunit ribosomal RNA
Source: RNAcentral